RNAcentral lists this ribosomal RNA (1286 nucleotides) under metagenome. RNAcentral describes it as "bacterial SSU rRNA". It matches the Rfam family "Bacterial small subunit ribosomal RNA", at positions 242 to 1520 of the family's 1533-position model. The record is from RNAcentral.
UAGCUAGUUGGUGAGGUAAAGGCUCACCAAGGCGACGAUCUGUAGCGGGUCUGAGAGGAUGAUCCGCCACACUGGAACUGAGACACGGUCCUGACUCCUACGGGAGGCAGCAGUGGGGAAUUUUGGACAAUGGGGGCAACCCUGAUCCAGCCAUGCCGCGUGAGUGAAGAAGGCCUUCGGGUUGUAAAGCUCUUUCGGCCGGGAAAAAAUCGCAUGGGUUAAUACCCUGUGUGGAUGAUGGUACCGGAAUAAGAAGCACCGGCUAACUACGUGCCAGCAGCCGCGGUAAUACGUAGGGUGCGAGCGUUAAUCGGAAUUACUGGGCGUAAAGCGUGCGCAGGCGGUUUUGUAAGACAGGCGUGAAAUCCCCGGGCUCAACCUGGGAACUGCGCUUGUGACUGCAAGGCUAGAGUACGGCAGAGGGGGGUGGAAUUCCACGUGUAGCAGUGAAAUGCGUAGAGAUGUGGAGGAACACCAAUGGCGAAGGCAGCCCCCUGGGUCGAUACUGACGCUCAUGCACGAAAGCGUGGGUAGCAAACAGGAUUAGAUACCCUGGUAGUCCACGCCCUAAACGAUGUCAACUAGGUGUUGGGUGGGUAAAACCAUUUAGUACCGUAGCUAACGCGAGAAGUUGACCGCCUGGGGAGUACGGCCGCAAGGUUAAAACUCAAAGGAAUUGACGGGGACCCGCACAAGCGGUGGAUGAUGUGGAUUAAUUCGAUGCAACGCGAAAAACCUUACCUACCCUUGACAUGUCCAGGAGCCCGAAGAGAUUUGGGUGUGCUCGAAAGAGAGCUGGAACACAGGUGCUGCAUGGCUGUCGUCAGCUCGUGUCGUGAGAUGUUGGGUUAAGUCCCGCAACGAGCGCAACCCUUGUCGUUAAUUGCCAUCAUUCAGUUGGGCACUUUAACGAGACUGCCGGUGACAAACCGGAGGAAGGUGGGGAUGACGUCAAGUCCUCAUGGCCCUUAUGGUAGGGCUUCACACGUCAUACAAUGGUCGGUACAAAGGGUUGCCAACCCGCGAGGGGGAGCUAAUCCCAUAAAGCCGAUCGUAGUCCGGAUCGCAGGCUGCAACUCGCCUGCGUGAAGUCGGAAUCGCUAGUAAUCGUGGAUCAGCAUGUCACGGUGAAUACGUUCCCGGGUCUUGUACACACCGCCCGUCACACCAUGGGAGCGGGUUCCGCCAGAAGUAGGUAGCCUAACCGCAAGGGGGGCGCUUACCACGGCGGGGUUCGUGACUGGGGUGAGGUCGGAACAAGGUAGCCGUAGGGGAACCUGCGGCUG